AGCCUAAAAAGCAAUUGGUUAAGCAAUUAA
RNAcentral lists this transfer RNA (30 nucleotides) under Nearchaster variabilis. RNAcentral describes it as "partial tRNA-Thr". Lineage: Eukaryota; Metazoa; Echinodermata; Asteroidea; Notomyotida; Benthopectinidae. The record is from RNAcentral.